ACCGAAUAGAUACCCAGGUAGUCCACGCCCUAAACGAUGCGAACUGGAUGUUGGGUACAUUACGGUACUCAGUGUCGAAAGCUAAACGCGUUAAGUUCGCCGCCUGGGGAGUACGGUCGCAAGACUGAAACUCAAAGGAAUUGACGGGGGCCCGGCACAAGCGGUGGAGUAUGUGGUUUAAUUCGAUGCAACGCGAAGAACCUUACCUGGCCUUGACAUCUGUCGAAUCCUGCAGAGAUGCGGGAGUGCCGCAAGGAACGACAAGACAGGUGCUGCAUGGCUGUCGUCAGCUCGUGUCGUGAGAUGUUGGGUUAAGUUCCCGCAACGAGCGCAACCCUUGUCCCUAGUUGCCAGCACGUAAUGGUGGGAACUCUAGGGAGACUGCCGGUGACAAACCGG
RNAcentral lists this ribosomal RNA (399 nucleotides) under uncultured bacterium. RNAcentral describes it as "bacterial SSU rRNA". It matches the Rfam family "Bacterial small subunit ribosomal RNA", at positions 772 to 1166 of the family's 1533-position model. The record is from RNAcentral.